RNAcentral lists this ribosomal RNA (403 nucleotides) under bacterium. RNAcentral describes it as "partial 16S ribosomal RNA". It matches the Rfam family "Bacterial small subunit ribosomal RNA", at positions 355 to 776 of the family's 1533-position model. The record is from RNAcentral.
UGGGGAAUAUUGCACAAUGGGGGAAACCCUGAUGCAGCGACGCCGCGUGAACGAAGAAGGUAUUCGUAUCGUAAAGUUCUGUCCUAUGGGAAGAUAAUGACAGUACCAUAGAAGAAAGCUCCGGCUAAAUACGUGCCAGCAGCCGCGGUAAUACGUAUGGAGCGAGCGUUGUCCGGAAUUAUUGGGCGUAAAGGGUACGCAGGCGGUUUAAUAAGUCGAAUGUUAAAGAUCGGGGCUCAACCCCGUAAAGCAUUGGAAACUGAUAAACUUGAGUAGUGGAGAGGAAAGUAGAAUUCCUGGUGUAGUGGUGAAAUACGUAGAUAUUAGGAGGAAUACCAGUAGCGAAGGCGACUUUCUGGACACAAACUGACGCUGAGUUACGAAAGCGUGGGGGGCAAACAGG